Molecule: small nuclear RNA, 134 nt
Organism: Jaculus jaculus (lesser Egyptian jerboa)
Lineage: Eukaryota; Metazoa; Chordata; Mammalia; Rodentia; Dipodidae
Source: Ensembl
AAAAAGGGCUUCUGUCAUGAGUGGCACAUAUAGGGCAAUUCAGUUGUUCUAUGUGCAGAAUUGACAUCAAGAGAUUUCAGAAACAUAAUUCAUUGGUACAUGGGCAGAUGGUGAUCAUUGGUUCUGGUGCCCUA